CACGUAGGGUCCAAGCGUUGUCCGGAUUUAUUGGGCGCAAAGAGCUCGUAGGCGGCUUGGUAAGUCGAGUGUGAAAACUCUGGGCUCAACUCAGAGACGCCACUCGAUACUGCCAUGGCUUGAGUCCGGUAGGGGAGUGUGGAAUUCCCGGUGUAGCGGUGAAAUGCGCAGAUAUCAGGAGGAACACCGGUGGCGAAGGCGCCACUCUGGGCCGAAACUGACGCUGAGGAGCGAAAGCGUGGGUAGCAAACAGG
RNAcentral lists this ribosomal RNA (254 nucleotides) under uncultured bacterium. RNAcentral's name for it is "partial 16S ribosomal RNA". It matches the Rfam family "Bacterial small subunit ribosomal RNA", at positions 524 to 776 of the family's 1533-position model. The record is from RNAcentral.